This 444-nucleotide ribosomal RNA is filed under the name Gymnodinium catenatum. RNAcentral's name for it is "partial Bacterial large subunit ribosomal RNA". It matches the Rfam family "Bacterial large subunit ribosomal RNA", at positions 2241 to 2695 of the family's 2925-position model. Lineage: Eukaryota; Dinophyceae; Gymnodiniales; Gymnodiniaceae. The record is from RNAcentral.
UUUGAAAUGAAUUCUGUUAGAUGGGCUGUUUAAUUGGGGCGAUGACCUUCUUUAAUCGAACGUUAGGUGAACAAAGCUAUUGAUGUGGGCUUUGAUCAAGGACUAGUAAGUGCAAAGAUAGAUGUCUGGCUUAAUGGUGAAGCUUUGUUUGAUCCAGUAUUUAAAUGGUGUCUUAGUGACCUUAAAAUUAAUUUAUCAGAUAAAAGUUACUCAAGGGAUAACAGGCUUAAUAGGCAUUAUAGCUCACAUUAAAUGAAUGGUUUCGCACCUCGAUGUCGGCUUAUCUUUUCCAAGGUCUGUAUAAGGUCGCCUCUAUCGGAGUGCUCAUCCCCUCGCAGGUACGUGAGCUGGGUUAAGAACGAUGUAAAUCAGUUUGGUCUAUAUCUUUUUCCGCGCGAUCUAUCAUCACAUCUACCUCUUCUUUGGUCAGUACGGAAGGACCAG